CGAGUGGCGGACGGGUGAGUAACGCGUGGGUAACCUGCCUCAUACAGGGGGAUAACAGUUGGAAACGGCUGCUAAUACCGCAUAAGCGCACAGUACCGCAUGGUACCGUGUGAAAAACUCCGGUGGUAUGAGAUGGACCCGCGUCUGAUUAGCUAGUUGGUGGGGUAACGGCCUACCAAGCACGAUCAGUAGCCGACCUGAGAGGGUGACCGGCCACAUUGGGACUGAGACACGGCCCAA
This 240-nucleotide ribosomal RNA is filed under the name uncultured bacterium. RNAcentral describes it as "partial 16S ribosomal RNA". It matches the Rfam family "Bacterial small subunit ribosomal RNA", at positions 92 to 334 of the family's 1533-position model. The record is from RNAcentral.